GUGGGUAUAGCUCAGUUGGUUAGAGCAUCGGAUUGUGGUUCCGAGGGUCGAGGGUUCGAAUCCCUUUACCCACCCCA
RNAcentral lists this transfer RNA (77 nucleotides) under Clostridiales bacterium. RNAcentral describes it as "tRNA-His". It matches the Rfam family "tRNA". From Rfam's summary of the family: Transfer RNA (tRNA) molecules are approximately 80 nucleotides in length. Their secondary structure includes four short double-helical elements and three loops (D, anti-codon, and T loops). RNAcentral also lists the same sequence under 2 other names. Lineage: Bacteria; Bacillati; Bacillota; Clostridia; Eubacteriales. The record is from RNAcentral.